AGAGUUUGAUCCGGGCUCAGAUUGAACGCUGGCGGCAGGCUUAACACAUGCAAGUCGAGCGGCAGCGGAAAGAAGCUUGCUUCUUUGCCGGCGAGCGGCGGACGGGUGAGUAAUGUCUGGGGAUCUGCCCGAUGGAGGGGGAUAACUACUGGAAACGGUAGCUAAUACCGCAUAAUGUCGCAAGACCAAAGUGGGGGACCUUCGGGCCUCACACCAUCGGAUGAACCCAGAUGGGAUUAGCUAGUAGGUGGGGUAAUGGCUCACCUAGGCGACGAUCCCUAGCUGGUCUGAGAGGAUGACCAGCCACACUGGAACUGAGACACGGUCCAGACUCCUACGGGAGGCAGCAGUGGGGAAUAUUGCACAAUAGGGGAAACCCUGAUGCAGCCAUGCCGCGUGUGUGAAGAAGGCCUUCGGGUUGUAAAGCACUUUCAGCGGGGAGGAAGGCAAUGGCGUUAAUAGUGUCAUUGAUUGACGUUACCCGCAGAAGAAGCACCGGCUAACUCCGUGCCAGCAGCCGCGGUAAUACGGAGGGUGCGAGCGUUAAUCGGAAUUACUGGGCGUAAAGCGUACGCAGGCGGUCUGUUAAGUCAGAUGUGAAAUCCCCGGGCUUAACCUGGGAACUGCAUUUGAAACUGGCAGGCUAGAGUCUCGUAGAGGGGGGUAGAAUUCCAGGUGUAGCGGUGAAAUGCGUAGAGAUCUGGAGGAAUACCGGUGGCGAAGGCGGCCCCCUGGACGAAGACUGACGCUCAGGUACGAAAGCGUGGGGAGCAAACAGGAUUAGAUACCCUGGUAGUCCACGCUGUAAACGAUGUCGAUUUGAAGGUUGUGGUCUUGAGCCGUGGCUUUCGGAGCUAACGCGUUAAAUCGACCGCCUGGGGAGUACGGCCGCAAGGUUAAAACUCAAAUGAAUUGACGGGGGCCCGCACAAGCGGUGGAGCAUGUGGU
This 948-nucleotide ribosomal RNA is filed under the name uncultured bacterium. RNAcentral describes it as "bacterial SSU rRNA". It matches the Rfam family "Bacterial small subunit ribosomal RNA", at positions 8 to 945 of the family's 1533-position model. The record is from RNAcentral.